AUAGAAAUUUCAUGAACCCAUGACCCAGCCUCCAAGGCAGCCUCGGUGGCAGUGAUCUGCCUCAACUACCAGCAAGGGACACCCCACAAGGUAUUUCUGAGGGAGACAGUCAAACAAACCAGCACGGAGGAUAUCCCAGGAAAAGGACAUAAGUAUCACCUCAAAUGUUCUGUGGAAUAAGUUAUUCUAAAACAAAUUGCAGUGAACUGCAUAGCUGAAUCGCCUUACCCUGCAGUGGGACAAGAUACUGUACCAGAAAUCAACAUCACAUGUGAAGGAGAAAUGGAAAGAGCCCAGAUAAAGAAAACAACACAUCUGAUCAAAAACUCAAGUCCAUGAAGGAAUCACUAGAAGCACAAAAUAUUCCAGACAUUUUGAGAAAUGUAUCUCCAAAACAUGAAGCCAGGUCAACAUUUAGCCUGGGUUGCCUGUGGUUAUGUAACAUGGCAAAAUUCUGGUGAAAACACGUGAUAUAAAAGUGGUAAAAAUUAAACUGUCAAGGAAAUGCAAAAAAAUGAUGACUUUAUCGAAUAGACUAUACCAUUCCACUUCAUGACAUUGCAUCCCAGGAGAUUGAUUCCUUGGCAAAUGCAAGUUCUUUGGCACUGACAAGAUGGUGCUGAGGUAAAAUGUAAUCGCUGUCUGCCAAGGGAAGUACAAGCGGAA
Molecule: long non-coding RNA, 666 nt
Filed under: Homo sapiens (human)
Lineage: Eukaryota; Metazoa; Chordata; Mammalia; Primates; Hominidae
Description: non-protein coding lnc-CLINT1-7:1
Source: RNAcentral